CCACAAUUAGGGAAAGCACAAUGCGUUUCAACCUUAACAUCUUCAAUGUUCGUUAAUCCUUCCAUCUCUGGGCUCUGUCCGGAAAUCAAAUUUGGUGGCGUUAUUCAUGUAUCUCUCGGUCACUUCUGGGUUACGUCAAUACUCCGGUAGUGUGACCUUUCACACUGCGUGCUUACGUAUGACAUCAUUACGUGUGCGCAGCGACGUAACAGCGCUAUUGCGUCACACUCCUGUAUCCAGUGUUCUAUCGGAAAUCUAUAUCUAUCAGACUUGUAUACAGACGUCACUUCCAGUGCACCCACGUCACCAGAAGUGACGCAAAAUAGGCUGCGUGCAUGUGGGGUUAAU
Non-coding RNA from Pelobates cultripes (western spadefoot toad), 348 nucleotides. NCBI's taxonomy places the organism in Eukaryota, Metazoa, Chordata, Amphibia, Anura, Pelobatidae. The record is from the annotation of a GenBank genome assembly.